Molecule: long non-coding RNA, 4024 nt
Organism: Eriocheir sinensis (Chinese mitten crab)
Lineage: Eukaryota; Metazoa; Arthropoda; Malacostraca; Decapoda; Varunidae
Exons: 4
Source: RefSeq, a predicted model, not a curated record
UCCAUCCUCGAUCAGUGUGUUGGUGACGGGAACUCUUCGCCUGAACCCGCUGCCCCCGUAUCUCCCGGGUCUCGGUUCGAUACCCGCCCUCAGCACUUCCAUGUUAUGUGUCUGUGUUAUACCGGCGGGGAAUCCUUAUAUUAACAAGCCCCGUACCCGCCCACGUAAAUGUUGGUCUCGGUUCGAAUCCCGCCCUCACCUACAAGACCCGUCCUUAGCAAGCCCCGUACCCGCCCACGUAAAUCUUGGACUCGGUUCGAAUCCCGCCCUCACCUACAAACCCCGUCCUUAGCAAGCCCCGUACCCGCCCACGUAAAUCUUGGACUCGGUUCGAAUCCCGCCCUCACCUACAAACCCCGUCCUUAGCAAGCCCCGUACCCGCCCACGUAAAUCUUGGACUCGGUUCGAAUCCCGCCCUCACCUACAAGUCCCGUCCUUAACAAAAACCGUAGAGGAGAGCGGUGAUGAUUCGGCCAUCGCACUUAUUGUAAAGUGUAUGGGAGUCAGUGCCGCGAGAUUUUGUCUGAAUGUGCAAAACUUUAUUGCCUUGACCCACAAAGGGACAACCACGCCCUCAGAGCUGUUGUUUUCGAUGCAACUCCGAUUUUAUGUUUUUUUGCAUCUCUUAUGUAAUAUUUUCAGUGUAUCGUAAGCUCUCACUUCAAAAACGUGCCAAUUAGCGACAUGUAAAUUAUUUCGGUGACGCAGCGAUGCCCGGCGAAGGUGUUGCCGCAUAACACGAUCACCUGUGAAGCUCUCGUGCUGGAAAAGUGUGUGACCACACAUUUGCUUUUUAUUGAGUCGUGAUGAUUCGGACGGUUGAUUUUUUCAUGAUUUUUAUUAAAUUUAUAUCAAUUUAAACAUUAUAGGUGUUGCAACGUUUAUAAAAAGGUUAGUUUGGUUGAUUAAUAUUCAGAUAUGCUUGUGAGAAGAGAAGGAAGCCAUAAUACCAAAAUUUUUGAGAUUUCUUGUAGUUCUCCUUUUAUUUUUUCCCCUCUAAAUAUUGAGAGGAUACUUUAGUCCUCUAACAAAUGUUUUGUAGAAGAUAUAAUUUUGUUUAUUAGCCAAUCAAACUUAAGUUAUAUUAAUAUUAUGGCGAGUAUUAUGAGUGUCCGUACCAUCCCACCUCCCUGGCCGAACCAUCACCACGGCUGGGGGCGAUUUAGAAACUUAGUCUUUCAUCACCUACAUCUGAAAACUGGAAAUAGCUACGAGUGUCAUAUUAGCGGCCUACAGAGCCAAAUGAUGGAGGAACAUUUUGAGGUCAACAAAAUUACACUACUUUUUAAACUUCUUUUUCUAAAAAUAUUUUUCUAAAAAGUGUCCGAAUCAUACCGGCUCUCCCCUACCCGCCCACGUUAUCACAAGUGUCCUCGCCUCCACCUCAACGGUACCAGCGUGUCAUAUAUCAAAGGAAGGGGCUUGUGAGACUUCAGCGACCUCCGGCAGCACUUCGAGGUCAACAUUAGGACCUCGGAGCUCAUAAGAGCUGUCGUGAUGAAGGCCUGACUCGUGGGGGAGCGCCUGUGUCCUGCCUCCCCCCACACCCAGGAGCUGCCGUGAUGAAGGCCUGACCCGUGGGGGAGCGCCUGUGUCCUGCCUCCCCCCACACCCAGGAGCUGCCGUGACGAAGACCUGACUCGUGGGGGAGCGCCUGUGUCCUGCCUCCCCCCACACCCAGGAGUGGAGGCCUGACACACUGGGCGACCGCACUGAUAACAAUCUCAAAGCUGGAGACUGGGAUGCCGGGCCAGGAGGGGGAGACAACAAAGCUAGAUAGGUUAAUUUAGGUCAAGAAAUGCUGUAUAAAGGACAUGAGGAGUCACUAUAAUAGCAGCAAUGAUACUGUACUUGGUUCAGUGUGUUAGUGAGGAUAGAUUAUCUUUGGUAGAGCGGGGCACCACCUCAGUGUAAUAUAUCAAGUUAUUUAUAUUACAGCAACACUUACAAUUUAACUCAUCCCUUUCCCUUCAAGCAAUAGUUCUAACACCUUUAAUUUAAUGAUUGAAUGUUUCCUUCCUUCACUUUUCAUUUCCUUGUUUUCUCUUUGACCCAUUUUCUCUGAUUCUUCGUUUUCUUCAGUUUUCUCUCUCAUCCAUUCUCUCUCCUCCUCCUCCUCCUCCUCCUCUGUCCAUCUUUAUUCCGUCCUUUCAUUUAAUGUCUAAGCUAUCUUUUGCUUGAUGUUCUUUCUGGUGGUCAAAUCUUGCAUCUCAUUUCCUAUCGUCCAUUCUCUCUCCUCCUCCUCCUCCUCCUCCUCAUAAUACAGUUCCUUCUAUUCUCCUUUCUCCUUUAUUCUUUUUUAACUUUUCCUCCCCUUUUCUAUUCCUUUUCCCCAACUUUCCUCCUCUUUCCUCUUCUAUUCUUCCUUCAUCUCCUUCUCCUUUUUCUCCUUUCACUUCUCCUCCUCCUCCUCUUCCUCUGUCUGUUUAUCUUCAUCCCUUCCUUCCUUUUAAUUAAUGUCUAAGUUAUCUUUUUGCUUGAGGUUCCUUCUAGUGUGUUUGUGGUGCCCGGCUCUGGUCACUAGUUAGUUUUGUCACUGUAUAAUUGUCAGUCCUAGUUUGUUUUGUCACUGUAUAAUUGUCAGUCCCAGCCAGGCGCCUCUUCCAUGUAAAGAUAUCGGCAGCUUCAAGUCUUGCCGAUAUCUCAAUCAUCUUGAUGAAUGUAAAUUAACCGAAAUCCUUGUUACUAAGCCCUGCAUGGUGCUCUCUCACAUAAUGCUUCUUUAAAUUUUCAGUCUCACUUAACUUCCGGGGUUAGUACUAUAUUUUGCCAUGAGUUAACUCCCCGUGAUGGCCAGUUUCAUGUACUAUAUAUAAGUAAUUUGCCUUUUGCAUGGCUAUAAUUCUGCAUCCGUGUCUAAGGCCCAGUUUCACAGUUCCUCAUGAUGGGUUAGUAAGCUCCGAAACCAAUACCAGAGCCUUCGAAAUUUCCUUGUACGGUGUCUGGAGUUUAUAUUCAAGUUCACAAAUUUGACGAGACUAUACAGGAAAGGUCUUAUAUUGUCAUGAUACGAAGGAAAGGGAAGAGAAGGGAGAUGAGAUUGGGAGACGAAUGAGCUGAGAUCCUGUUUAUAUUCAAGUUCACAAAUUUGACAAGACUAUACAGGAAAAGCUGUGUUUAUGAUAUGAAGGAAAGGGAAGAGAAGGGAGAUGAGUAAGCUGAGAUCCUGUUUAUAUUCAAGUCCACAAAUUUGACGACACAAUACAGGAAAAGCUCAUUGUAUUUAGUGUGUCAUCAAAGACCGCGCCAUUUUGAACAGUAUGGGAUUCUAUAGCUUGGUUCGGGAGUGUUACAAAGACCAUGAUGGACUGUGGAAAUGGCCCUUAAUGUUCCCUUUUCUAAUAUGCCUCUCUGUUUUUGCAGGAUGCCGCGGACGGACCAUGCAGAGGACUCAUCGCGACGACACCAACGGUUUGGUUAAGUGGGUUCUCUUGUGUGUGCGUCUGUGUGUGAAUGGCAGGCCUGUCGUAUGAUUGUGUGUGUGCGCGCGCUGGGCGUUAUGCCUUCGCGCUAUUAUUUUGUUAGGAUGUAUUUUUUUGUGUGUGAACUUUUUGCACGUAAUCUUUUUUUAUACCCAUAGCUAGCGUUUGUUUGUGUGUUGCUGUGUUCCGGGAGAUGGGCGCCGGGGGACAUGGGCUGGGGGGGGCGCACGUGACCUCCUCUGUCCGUGACCUCUUCAGCUGGGGAGACCGCGUGUUGCCCCGGCUGGAGAGACACGUUGAUGGAGGCGGCUGCGUGUGUCGUCCCUUGCCUGUAUCCUCUGGCGUCCAGAGGCGCGUAAGUGGAGAGCAUCGGCGCAGCGCGGGAGCAGCACGUCAGGGUGUAGGGUGUCUUUUUAGCUGGUGUAGGGAGCUUAGGGUGUUAGGGUGUUAGGUGUAACAACGGUUGGCUCUUUCACAGAACGGGUGUGAUUCCGUUCUGCGUUUGAGUCUUCCACCUUCAGACGGUCUCCCUCCGAGAUGUCUGAAGUUUUUUUUGUCGGUUUUCUCCGUAGGAGGAAGCCGGCUCUAGCUACUCUGGCCUC